Molecule: ribosomal RNA, 333 nt
Filed under: uncultured prokaryote
Description: partial 16S ribosomal RNA
Source: RNAcentral
UUAAAAUUUUUACCGCUUCGGCGUUAUAACCUCACACUCAAUCUUUUAUCACGAAGUCAUGAUUGAAUCGCGAGUGGUCGGCAGAUUGCGAUAAACGGUCACAUUAAAUUUAACCUGACUAUUCCACUGCAACAACUGAACGGACUGGAAACACUGGUCAUAAUCAUGGUGGCGAAUAAGUACGCGUUCUUGCAAAUCACCAGAAGGCGGUUCCUGAAUGAAUGGGAAGCCUUCAAGAAGGUGAUAAGCAGGAGAAACAUACGAAGGCGCAUAACGAUACCACUGACCCUCAGCAAUCUUAAACUUCUUAGACGAAUCACCAGAACGGAAAAC